Molecule: non-coding RNA, 114 nt
Organism: Acanthosepion pharaonis
Lineage: Eukaryota; Metazoa; Mollusca; Cephalopoda; Sepiida; Sepiidae
Source: the annotation of a GenBank genome assembly
UUAUGGCCAUAUCAUGUUGAAACACCAGUUUCUGCAUGAUCACUGAAGUUAAGCAACAUCAAGCCUGGUCAGUACUUAGAUGGGUAACCACUUGGGAAUACCAGGUGCUGCAAG